UUACUGGUCGUCGAGAGUUGAAGAAUGUUCAACUUUGGAUAAAGCGCAGCGCUCAUCACUGUCACUUUUUACCCAGCCGUCCAAUCACAGUGGAGGAGGGGCGGGACUAAUACCACACCGACCAACUUUACAAGUAAACUGUGCUGCGGAUAUUCUGUAUCAUAGCAACGAAACGUCUCAACGGAAAAAACGCUGCGCUGCCAAAACGCUCUCAAGCGCCCACAGCUAGGCGUCU
Rhinichthys klamathensis goyatoka is the source of this 235-nucleotide long non-coding RNA. RefSeq lists it as uncharacterized. The record is from RefSeq and is a predicted model, not a curated record. NCBI's taxonomy places the organism in Eukaryota, Metazoa, Chordata, Actinopteri, Cypriniformes, Leuciscidae. The transcript is spliced from 2 exons.